GGGCCGUUAGCUCAGUUGGUAGAGCAUCUCAUUUGCAAUGAGAGGGUCGCAGGUUCGAAUCCUGUACGGUCCA
Non-coding RNA from Parcubacteria bacterium C7867-001, 73 nucleotides. The record is from Rfam. NCBI's taxonomy places the organism in Bacteria, Candidatus Parcubacteria.